CAGGAGAUAGUUUAUUAAAAAUUAUAGCUUUGGGAGUUGUAGAAGCAAGUUUGAGUCUUGUUCUUCUGA
RNAcentral lists this transfer RNA (69 nucleotides) under Asterias amurensis (Northern Pacific seastar). Its description in RNAcentral is "tRNA-Pro". It matches the Rfam family "tRNA". Rfam says of the family: Transfer RNA (tRNA) molecules are approximately 80 nucleotides in length. Their secondary structure includes four short double-helical elements and three loops (D, anti-codon, and T loops). Further hydrogen bonds mediate the characteristic L-shaped molecular structure. tRNAs have two regions of fundamental functional importance: the anti-codon, which is responsible for specific mRNA codon recognition, and the 3' end, to which the tRNAs corresponding amino acid is attached (by aminoacyl-tRNA synthetases). tRNAs cope with the degeneracy of the genetic code in two manners: having more than one tRNA (with a specific anti-codon) for a particular amino acid; and 'wobble' base-pairing, i.e. permitting non-standard base-pairing at the 3rd anti-codon position. Lineage: Eukaryota; Metazoa; Echinodermata; Asteroidea; Forcipulatida; Asteriidae. The record is from RNAcentral.